UGUGUGUAUGCGUGUGUGUGUGUAUGUGUAUGCUUGUGCAUGUGUGUGUAUUGAUAAAUGUGGUAUACUAUUCGAAAUACAACUCUGAAAGGAAAAAAAAAAAAUUUCUCCAUCGAUUUGAUUCUGCUGAGUAUUGGAUAUUUGAUGUUAGAUGCUGUUGCAACGCUAAACUUUUCAACUAUUAGUUUUUCAGGAUAUUCAAAACAUUUUCAAUAUAUGCAAGUUGAGGUAAAACAGUUAUCAUUAAUUAGCGGUUAAAAAAUCGAGUAGAUACAAUUAAAAAUAUUUUGCUCUUACUACCAACAGACACUAUUUUGUCCGAAUACAGCAUGAAUGGUCUAAAGAAGAAAAAAAAAGUUUAAAGAAUUGACAAGUCUAUGUAAUGCUGAAACUGCUUUAAAGUCAAAUAAAUCCAAAAUGGAUGCCAUCCAUCCAACUUAUUGGGAGAGUAAUUAGGAAUUCUUCUGAUCGAUUAAAGAAAACAUCCACUAAUAUGAAUAUCGAUCAAUGAUCGGCUUAAUUAGCUGUUGUAUUUUUUAUUUAAUUUUCAUUUUUCAGCAAUUUUCUUCUAUUUAUAAUGCACUAUCGAUUAUAUUCUACAGUACCUAAUAGUUUUUA
RNA transcript from Hydra vulgaris (swiftwater hydra), 618 nucleotides. RefSeq lists it as uncharacterized. The record is from RefSeq and is a predicted model, not a curated record. Lineage: Eukaryota; Metazoa; Cnidaria; Hydrozoa; Anthoathecata; Hydridae.